UCCAGACUCCUACGGGAGGCAGCAGUGGGGAAUAUUGCACAAUGGGGGGAACCCUGAUGCAGCGACGCCGCGUGGGUGAAGGAGCGUUUCGGCGCGUAAAGCCCUAUCGGCAGGGAAGAAGGAGGACGGUACCUGACUAAGAAGCCCCGGCUAACUACGUGCCAGCAGCCGCGGUAAUACGUAGGGGGCAAGCGUUAUCCGGAUUUACUGGGUGUAAAGGGGGCGCAGACGGCAGCGCAAGCCAGGAGUGAAAGCCCGGGGCCCAACCCCGGGACUGCUCUUGGAACUGCGCGGCUGGAGUGCAGGAGGGGCAGGCGGAAUUCCUGGUGUAGCGGUGAAAUGCGUAGAUAUCAGGAGGAACACCGGUGGCGAAGGCGGCCUGCUGGACUGCGACUGACGUUGAGGCCCGAAAGCGUGGGGAGCAAACAGGAUUAGAUACCCCAGUAC
Molecule: ribosomal RNA, 447 nt
Filed under: uncultured bacterium
Lineage: Bacteria
Description: partial 16S ribosomal RNA
Rfam family: Bacterial small subunit ribosomal RNA
Source: RNAcentral